This is a long non-coding RNA of Mauremys mutica (yellowpond turtle), 257 nucleotides long. RefSeq lists it as uncharacterized. The record is from RefSeq and is a predicted model, not a curated record. Lineage: Eukaryota; Metazoa; Chordata; Testudines; Geoemydidae. The transcript has 3 exons.
GUGGAAAGUACAAGCUGGGAAAAAUCCCAGUGCCCAGGACAAGUCUAAGUGCUAAUUGGGCAAUUUCCUACCAGACAGACGAAAAAGGGGGCAGCUUGACCAGCAAUACUGAGUGGCCAGUCAGAGAGAAGGUCUUGCAAUCCUAGCAACAAUCGGAUGCUUCAAAGGCAGUUAUUUUUGCCAUAAAGGCCAGAGCUAUUGAAACAACUCUCCUAAGCUUCACUUUGAGAAGGAUAAAAAGGAAAUUCUGCUGCAGG